This 468-nucleotide ribosomal RNA is filed under the name uncultured bacterium. RNAcentral describes it as "partial 16S ribosomal RNA". It matches the Rfam family "Bacterial small subunit ribosomal RNA", at positions 28 to 507 of the family's 1533-position model. The record is from RNAcentral.
GACGAACGCUGGCGGCGUGCUUAACACAUGCAAGUCGAACGGAAAGGCCCUGCUUUUGUGGGGUGCUCGAGUGGCGAACGGGUGAGUAACACGUGAGUAACCUGCCCUUGACUUUGGGAUAACUUCAGGAAACUGGGGCUAAUACCGGAUAGGAGCUCCUGCUGCAUGGUGGGGGUUGGAAAGUUUCGGCGGUUGGGGAUGGACUCGCGGCUUAUCAGCUUGUUGGUGGGGUAGUGGCUUACCAAGGCUUUGACGGGUAGCCGGCCUGAGAGGGUGACCGGCCACAUUGGGACUGAGAUACGGCCCAGACUCCUACGGGAGGCAGCAGGGGGGAAUAUUGCACAAUGGGCGGAAGCCUGAUGCAGCGACGCCGCGGGCGGGAUGACGGCCUUCGGGUUGUAAACCGCUUUCGCCUGUGACGAAGCGUGAGUGACGGUAAUGGGUAAAGAAGCACCGGCUAACUACGUG